UACGUAGGGUGCAAGCGUUGUCCGGAAUUAUUGGGCGUAAAGAGCUCGUAGGCGGUUUGUCGCGUCUGCUGUGAAAACUCGGGGCUUACCCCCGGGCCUGCAGUGGGUACGGGCAGACUAGAGUGCGGUAGGGGAGACUGGAAUUCCGGGUGUAGCGGUGGAAUGCGUAGAGAUCCGGAAGAACACCAGUGGCGAAGGCGGCCCGCUGGGCAGUGGCUGACGCUGAAGCGCGACAGCGUGGGGAGCAAACAGG
This 253-nucleotide ribosomal RNA is filed under the name uncultured bacterium. Its description in RNAcentral is "partial 16S ribosomal RNA". It matches the Rfam family "Bacterial small subunit ribosomal RNA", at positions 524 to 776 of the family's 1533-position model. The record is from RNAcentral.